Molecule: ribosomal RNA, 487 nt
Filed under: uncultured bacterium
Lineage: Bacteria
Description: bacterial SSU rRNA
Rfam family: Bacterial small subunit ribosomal RNA
Source: RNAcentral
GAUUAUGGCUCAGGACGAACGCUGGCGGCGUGCUUAACACAUGCAAGUCGAGCGAUGAAGCUUCUUCGGAAGUGGAUUAGCGGCGGACGGGUGAGUAACACGUGGGUAACCUGCCUCAUAGAGGGGAAUAGCCUUCCGAAAGGAAGAUUAAUACCGCAUAAGAUUGUAAUAUCGCAUGAUAUAGCAAUUAAAGGAGUAAUCCGCUAUGAGAUGGACCCGCGUCGCAUUAGCUAGUUGGUGAGGUAACGGCUCACCAAGGCGACGAUGCGUAGCCGACCUGAGAGGGUGAUCGGCCACAUUGGGACUGAGACACGGCCCAGACUCCUACGGGAGGCAGCAGUGGGGAAUAUUGCACAAUGGGGGAAACCCUGAUGCAAGCAACGCCGCGUGAGUGAUGACGGUCUUCGGAUUGUAAAGCUCUGUCUUCAGGGACGAUAAUGACGGUACCUGAGGAGGAAGCCACGGCUAACUACGUGCCAGCCGCCGC